GGUCGGCUGAGCAAGCGGGAGAGGGGGCGAGCAGCCGACUAGCGCGGCUGGUUUCCGGGCGGCGGGGCGGUUGCGCUUAGGGGCGGGAAAGGCGACGAGGGGGGGAAGAGAGGGUGAGAGGGGAGGAUGCGUCCUCCGGAUUUGCGGUGGGGAAGUGAGGGGGGGGACGGGGGAGGCCGUGGUGUUGUUGGCUGGGUUGGGGGAUUCGGGGCGCGCGGAUAUUCGCUGGCUGGCUCUAGGUAUCACGCCGUCAGCGCGGGGGCCAUCGCCGGCGCCGCCACCCGCGCGGGACUCGUCGGCGUCGGCGUCAGGUGUGGAAGGGGAUCGGCUGCCUGGGUGUCGUGUGGAGGCGGGCCGCCCGUGCGGGUGCGGCGCGCUACGUGUGGUGGUGGGACGGGAGGGAGGGAAGGGAAUGUGGUUUGUUUGCGCGGACGGACGGGGGAGAGAGGCGCGGCGCCGGGCCACUCGGGUCGGGCUGGGCCUCGGGGGAUUGGAGCGGCUCGGGAUUCGCGGUGGCGGCACGUGUGGCGUGAUUCUGUUC
RNAcentral lists this ribosomal RNA (541 nucleotides) under Triticum aestivum (bread wheat). RNAcentral's name for it is "partial small subunit ribosomal RNA". The record is from RNAcentral. Lineage: Eukaryota; Viridiplantae; Streptophyta; Magnoliopsida; Poales; Poaceae.